Oenanthe melanoleuca is the source of this 647-nucleotide long non-coding RNA. RefSeq lists it as uncharacterized. NCBI's taxonomy places the organism in Eukaryota, Metazoa, Chordata, Aves, Passeriformes, Muscicapidae. The record is from RefSeq and is a predicted model, not a curated record. The transcript is spliced from 3 exons.
UUUCUCCUCCCCAGGCUCUCCGGGUCGAGCAGCGCUGCGGCUGCGGCGGACGGCGAGACUCGGCUUUGCGUUUGCGGCACGCCCCGACGGCGGCACGGCAGGGGGAAAGAGAUUUCGUCCAGCUCGGGUUUGGGCACGUGAUGCAGAGAAAACAAAGAGAACUCAGCAGCACCUUUGUAUUUGAGCAGCUGUGUCAGGGGAGAGCGCGAACGCAGUCCCCCACUACCACAAAUUAUGCAGUCGAGUUUCCCGCAUUUGGGGAAAUCGCAGGGGUCAGCACACCCGGAGUGCAAGGGAUGAGCCUCGCCCUGGGAAAACCACCUGCCUGAUCAUGGUGUCUCCCCUGCCAGGCUCUUACGGUCCGUGUUGCUUCCCGGCUGGAUUGGCUGAGCCCUCAUAGACACAAGCACCAAGAGUGACAAACCCAGUAAGACCCUGAUGCUGCCCCGGGACGUUCCUUAUUCACCCUCCAUGCUCAGAAACCAUUGCUGCCCAUCCAACAGCUUUGCUCCAGGUCUUCCAGGCAGUGGGUGAAGUUCACCUUGGGUUUUGUGGAAGGCAUUUCUAUUCUACUCCUCUGCUCUGCAGAUGGACAGCUGUUGUAAUUCGGUAUCUCAGGUAUAAGAAAUUAAAUACCCUGUAACUUC